RNAcentral lists this transfer RNA (62 nucleotides) under Mactra chinensis. RNAcentral describes it as "tRNA-Gly". The record is from RNAcentral. Lineage: Eukaryota; Metazoa; Mollusca; Bivalvia; Venerida; Mactridae.
GUAGCAAGAGUAUGAAAAAGUAUGUUUACCUUCCAAGUAAAAGGUCCUUGUAGGUUGCUAUU